ACAACAAGAAGUGCUUAACUGAAAAGGAGUGAGUGGAAUUUACUCGUUCAUUUACGAGAUUGUGGGAGUUUGCAACACAGCAAUAUACCAUUAUAACAUCGACAACCGCGAUCAAUGAAGAACUCAAGGAAAUUGGUCGUAAACGUCUUUAGCCAGAUAAUUGUUAUUUGGGCGCCAAUAUCUCAAUUCUCUCAAUUCUCCUUCAAUUGAUAUACCGUCUCCCACAUCCUUCAUUCGAAUUUCAAAGGCUCCUUUUUAUUAUUAUGGAAACUUGAACAAAUCAUCAAUUACAGAAGAUCUUUUGCAAAAAUAUGGAAGCUUUCCAAUUUUACCGCCUAUAUAUAGUUUACGGCUCUUAAUUCUAGGAUUGAAAGCACGAUUCCAGUCACCUGUUUUGUUUAAUCUUGAUCAUCCUUCGAAACUGAAGCAUCG
RNAcentral lists this long non-coding RNA (432 nucleotides) under Helianthus annuus (common sunflower). Lineage: Eukaryota; Viridiplantae; Streptophyta; Magnoliopsida; Asterales; Asteraceae. The record is from RNAcentral.